This 450-nucleotide ribosomal RNA is filed under the name uncultured bacterium. RNAcentral describes it as "partial 16S ribosomal RNA". It matches the Rfam family "Bacterial small subunit ribosomal RNA", at positions 354 to 796 of the family's 1533-position model. The record is from RNAcentral.
GUGGGGAAUAUUGGACAAUGGGCGAAAGCCUGAUCCAGCCAUGCCGCGUGUGUGAAGAAGGUCUUCGGAUUGUAAAGCACUUUAAGUUGGGAGGAAGGGCAGUAAGUUAAUACCUUGCUGUUUUGACGUUACCGACAGAAUAAGCACCGGCUAACUUCGUGCCAGCAGCCGCGGUAAUACGAAGGGUGCAAGCGUUAAUCGGAAUUACUGGGCGUAAAGCACGCGUAGGUGGUUUUGUAAGUUGGAGGUGAAAUCCCCGGGCUCAACCUGGGAACUGCCUCCAAAACUACUGAGCUAGAGUACGGUAGAGGGUAGUGGAAUUUCCUGUGUAGCGGUGAAAUGCGUAGAUAUAGGAAGGAACACCAGUGGCGAAGGCGACUACCUGGACUGAUACUGACACUGAGGUGCGAAAGCGUGGGGAGCAAACAGGAUUAGAUACCCGAGUAGUCC